RNAcentral lists this ribosomal RNA (372 nucleotides) under uncultured bacterium. Its description in RNAcentral is "bacterial SSU rRNA". It matches the Rfam family "Bacterial small subunit ribosomal RNA", at positions 524 to 898 of the family's 1533-position model. The record is from RNAcentral.
UACGGAGGGUGCAAGCGUUAUCCGGAUUUACUGGGUUUAAAGGGUGUGUAGGCGGGUCAUUAAGUCAGCGGUGAAAUCCCGGAGCUCAACUCCGGAACUGCCAUUGAUACUAUUGAUCUUGAAUCCUGUUGAGGUGGGCGGAAUACAUCAUGUAGCGGUGAAAUGCUUAGAGAUGAUGUAGAACACCGAUUGCGAAGGCAGCUCACUAAGCAGGUAUUGACGCUGAGGCACGAAAGCGUGGGGAUCAAACAGGAUUAGAUACCCUGGUAGUCCACGCCCUAAACGAUGAUUACUCGACGUGCGCGAUAUACGGUGCGCGUCUGAGCGAAAGCAUUAAGUAAUCCACCUGGGAAGUACGACCGCAAGGUUGAA